UACGAAGGGUGCAAACGUUGCUCGGAAUCAUUGGGCGUAAAGCGCACGUAGGCGGCCUUGUAAGUCGGAUGUGAAAUCCCACGGCUUAACUGUGGAAGUGCAUCCGAAACUGCGAGGCUCGAGUAUGGAAGAGGGUCGCAGAAUUCCCGGUGUAGAGGUGAAAUUCGUAGAUAUCGGGAGGAAUACCAGUGGCGAAGGCGGCGACCUGGGCCAAUACUGACGCUGAGGUGCGAAAGCGUGGGGAGCAAACAGG
Molecule: ribosomal RNA, 253 nt
Filed under: uncultured bacterium
Lineage: Bacteria
Description: partial 16S ribosomal RNA
Rfam family: Bacterial small subunit ribosomal RNA
Source: RNAcentral